RNAcentral lists this ribosomal RNA (497 nucleotides) under uncultured bacterium. RNAcentral describes it as "partial 16S ribosomal RNA". It matches the Rfam family "Bacterial small subunit ribosomal RNA", at positions 28 to 507 of the family's 1533-position model. The record is from RNAcentral.
GAUGAACGCUGGCGGCGUGCCUAAUACAUGCAAGUCGAGCGAACAGACGAGGAGCUUGCUCCUCUGACGUUAGCGGCGGACGGGUGAGUAACACGUGGAUAACCUACCUAUAAGACUGGGAUAACUUCGGGAAACCGGAGCUAAUACCGGAUAACAUGUUGAACCGCAUGGUUCAACAGUGAAAGACGGUUUUGCUGUCACUUAUAGAUGGAUCCGCGUCGCAUUAGCUAGUUGGUAAGGUAAAGGCUUACCAAGGCAACGAUGCGUAGCCGGCCUGAGAGGGUGAUCGGCCACACUGGAACUGAGACACGGUCCAGACUCCUACGGGAGGCAGCAGUAGGGAAUCUUCCGCAAUGGGCGAAAGCCUGACGGAGCAACGCCGCGUGAGUGAAGAAGGUCUUCGGAUCGUAAAACUCUGUUAUUAGGGAAGAACAAAUGUGUAAGUAACUAUGCACGUCUUGACGGUACCUAAUCAGAAAGCCACGGCUAACUACGUG